Micropterus dolomieu (smallmouth bass) is the source of this 1066-nucleotide long non-coding RNA. RefSeq lists it as uncharacterized. Lineage: Eukaryota; Metazoa; Chordata; Actinopteri; Centrarchiformes; Centrarchidae. The transcript has 2 exons. The record is from RefSeq and is a predicted model, not a curated record.
UCCAAGAAGCAGAUCUGCGCUCCGCGCCGCAGAGAAUAAGUAGCAGGUCUAUUUUAGCUGCAAGCCGCGUCAAGCAGCACAGAGGAGAUCGAACCAGGUAGGAAGUCAGACACAGAACGGCAUAGAGAAUCCGGUCAAUUUUCCAAAUAAAACACCCUGUGGAGACUACCGAUCGUAAAACAACACUAAACACGGUUAAAACCAGUGGUGUAGUCUACGUGAUACGCAGGUAUACGCCGUAUACCCACUAGGAACGGUCAAAGAUUUCAGUAUAACCACAACAUCGUUUUGUGACAGAACUUUCACACGUUCACUCAUAAAUUCACCCCGCUUGUGUUGCGAAGCUCUGAACUGACGUUUGGGGCUUCCGUGGCCUGUGACCGGGAUCUGACGUCACCUACCAAACAACAACACUAGCUGCGUGGCGGUCACGCGGCGCACGUUUUCACGUAUUUCUGUGAGAUCAGGUUGCUGAAGGAGAUGUGAAAUGCGAGCAAACUCAAACUACACUCUUUUGGUGUUUUCGUAAGCCUGCAGCUGAAGCUGCUGCCGCUCCGGGUGACACUGCAGCUGCAGCAGAUGACACGAACGUUAAAGUCACUGAAACACAGAAAACGAGCCAGAUGAGGCUGAUGCUAUCCUAACGUUACCUGGCACUCAAAGCACCAAGGUCUUGGUUAAAUACUGAAGAAGUCAACAGUGACCUGAAGCGCAAGGCUGGAAGUGUUUACCACAGAUGGGAAUCUAGAUACACACCCAGGUCUCUUAUGCCAAAGUCCUGCACUUUUAGGAUCAGAAUCAGAAUCACUUUUAGUAACCAGGUAUGUAUACACCAAGAGGAGUUUGGCACGUAUAGCUGUGAAGCAUUAUGCCAAAAAAUUCUAGCACAUACUGUAGUCAUACAUUAUUGCAACUCUGUCUCAUAGAAAUUACAUUUAUAUGGUAAGAAUUUGUUUUGUCAGUAUUAAAUGGCAGUAAUUGUUUUCCAGUGAAAACCUUUAUUCUGCACAUAAAAAAGUUGGUCUGGAUGGAUGGUAGGUACAUUAAACUGUUGUUUUGCUGUCUA